RNAcentral lists this microRNA precursor (67 nucleotides) under Bombyx mori (domestic silkworm). RNAcentral describes it as "mir-2774 microRNA precursor family". It matches the Rfam family "mir-2774 microRNA precursor family". Lineage: Eukaryota; Metazoa; Arthropoda; Insecta; Lepidoptera; Bombycidae. The record is from Rfam by way of RNAcentral.
AGAACAUUCGGACCGUCGGUCCACCGAGAAAUAUAGCCAGAUCGGUGGAAAGCCUUCCCUUUGUCGU